AUCCCAUGAUUUGGACACUUCCUUAUCAACUCCUUAAAUCUGUUUCGUGCCUCGUAAUAGCUCUCCCCAUCUUUCUGCUUGAAUUUCAGUCUAAUUUUUGCUACU
RNAcentral lists this small nucleolar RNA (105 nucleotides) under Olea europaea subsp. europaea. Its description in RNAcentral is "Plant small nucleolar RNA R71". It matches the Rfam family "Plant small nucleolar RNA R71". From Rfam's summary of the family: R71 is a member of the C/D box family of snoRNAs containing the C (UGAUGA) and D (CUGA) box motifs. Multiple nearly identical copies of this snoRNA have been identified in Arabidopsis, and it is thought to function as a 2'-O-ribose methylation guide for 18S ribosomal RNA. Lineage: Eukaryota; Viridiplantae; Streptophyta; Magnoliopsida; Lamiales; Oleaceae. The record is from Rfam by way of RNAcentral.